RNAcentral lists this non-coding RNA (26 nucleotides) under Rattus norvegicus (Norway rat). Lineage: Eukaryota; Metazoa; Chordata; Mammalia; Rodentia; Muridae. The record is from RNAcentral.
UCCCAGAAAGUUAAAGUGGCACGGGG